GUUCAAGUUACUAAGUGCUGUUGGCGGAUGCCUUGGCAUCGAUAGGCGAUGAAGGACGUGCAAAUCUGCGAAAAGCUUCGGGAAGCUGAUAAGAGGUUGAGAUCCGGAGAUUUCCGAAUGGGGAAACCCUGUAAGAGUAAUUUCUUACAAUUUAUACCUGAAUACAUAGGGUAUAAAGGCGAACGCACUGAAGUGAAACAUCUCAGUAAGUGCAGGAAAAUAAAUCAAUCGAGAUUUUCUGAGUAGCGGCGAGCGAAAAGGAAAAAGUCUAAACCAAAAAAUUUUUUUUUGGGGUUGCAGGACCUUAAAUAAAGGUGUUUGGAGAGUUAGCAAAAUUUACUGAAAAGUAAAACCAUAGAAGGUGAAAGUCCUGUAUGCGAAAAUUUGAAAAACACUGAUAAGGCACCUAAGUAAGGCCAGACACGUGAAACCUGGUCUGAAUCUGGGGAGACCACUCUCCAAGGCUAAAUACUAAUCGAUGACCGAUAGUGAACUAGUACCGUGAGGGAAAGGUGAAAAGAACCCCUUUUAGGGGAGUGAAAAGAUCCUGAAACCAGCAGCAUACAAGCGGUCAAAGGCCAAUGUGCUUUUUAAGCACAGGGCUUAUGGCGUGCCUUUUGCAUGAUGAGCCAGCGAGUUAUAUUAUAUGGCAAGGUUAAAGAAUGAUCAUUCUGGAGCCGUAGUGAGAGCGAGCGUUAAAAGCGCGAUUUAGUCAUAUGAUGUAGACACGAAACCAAGUGAUCUAUCCAUGACCAGGUUGAAGCAGUGGUAAUACACUGUGGAGGACCGAACCAGUGAAUGUUGCAAAAUUCUUGGAUGAGUUGUGGAUAGGAGUGAAAGGCUAAUCAAACUUGGUAAUAUCUUGUUCUCUCCGAAAUAACUUUAGGGUUAGCCUUGAUGUAAUUAGCUGUGAUGGUAGAGCACUGGAUCUACAAGGGGGCUUUACCGGCCUACUAAGUGGAACCAAACUCCGAAUAUUACAGCUAUAAUCAGGAGAUAGACAGUGGGGGAUAAGCUUCAUUGUCAAAAGGGGAACAGCCCAGAUCGUCGAUUAAGGUCCCUAAUUCUAUGCUAAGUGGGAAAGGAAGUGAAGUUUCUAAGACAGUUGGAAUGUUGGCUUAGAAGCAGCAACCAUUUAAAGAGUGCGUAACAGCUCACCAAUCGAGAGACUUUGCGCCGAUAAUAUACGGGGCUAAGCAUAGAACCGAAAUCACGAGUUUAUGUAAAUAAGCGGUAGGAGAGCGUAAUAUAUUCGCAGAAGCUGUACUGUAAAGAGCAGUGGAGAAUAUAUUAGUGAAGAUGCAUGGCAUUAGUAACGUUAAAGGAAGUGAGAAUCUUCCUCGCCGAAAACCUAAGGUUUCCAGGGUAAAGAUCGUCUUCCCUGGGUUAGCCGGCCCCUAAGCUGAGGCUGAAAAGCGUAGGUGAUGGGAAACAGGUUAAAUAUUCCUGUGCCACCUAAAGCUAUAGUGAUGGAGUGACGGAAAUUAUAAAGUGCGCGGACGUUUGGAUGUGUCCGUUUUUCUAUGAGGUUGGUUGAUUGGUAAAUCCGUCAACAUAAUACCAGGUAGGAAAGGAGGGGAAAUGCGAAUGGAACCGAAGGCAUUGAAUGGUUUUCCAAGAAAUAACUUCUAACUGCUGAUGGUGACCGUACUAAAACCGACACUGGUAGGUAGGAUGAAUAUUCUAAGGCGCGCAGGAUAACUCUCGUUAAGGAACUCGGCAAAUUGUCUCCGUAACUUCGGAAGAAGGAGAGCCAUUUGAUGUGAUUAUACUUGCUGUAUGAGCAUCGAAUGGUCGCAGAGAAUAGACCCAGGCGACUGUUUAUCAAAAACACAGCACUAUGCGAAGUCGUAAGACUAGGUAUAUGGUGUGAAGCCUGCCCAAUGCCACAAGGUUAAAGUAAGGUGUCAGCGCAAGCAAAGCACUGAACUGAAGCCCUGGUGAAUGGCGGCCGUAACUAUAACGGUCCUAAGGUAGCGAAAUUCCUUGUCGGGUAAGUUCCGACCUGCACGAAUGGCGUAACGAUCUGGGUACUGUCUCAACGAGAGACCUGGUGAAUUUGUAGUAGCGGUGAAGAUGCCGUUUACCCGCGACAAGACGGAAAGACCCCGUGAACCUUUACUGUAGUUUGAUAUUGUUCCUUGAUCUUUCUCGUGUAGGAUAGCCGGGAGGCAAUGAUCUAUAUCCGCUAGGGUAUAGUUAGCCACCCUUGAAAUACCGGCCUUGGAAGGUUGAGGAACUAACAACCGCCAAUUAUCUUGGAGUUGGACAUUGUCAGAUGGUCAGUUUUACUGGGGCGGUAUCCUCCUAAAAAGUAACGGAGGAGUCCAAAGUUUGCCUCAUCAUGGUUGGCAAUCAUGAUUAGAGCGUAAAGGUAUAAGGCAAAUUAACUGUGAGACCUACAAGUCAAACAGAUACGAAAGUAGGGCUUAGUGGUCCGGCGGUAGAAAGUGGAAUUACCGUCGCUUAACGGAUAAAAGGUACUCCGGGGAUAACAGGCUUAUCGCCACCAAGAGCUCAUAUCGACGUGGCGGUUUGGCACCUCGAUGUCGACUCAUCGCAUCCUGGGGCUGGAGAAGGUCCCAAGGGUUUGGCUGUUCGCCAAUUAAAGCGGUACGCGAGUUGGGUUCAAAACGUCGUGAGACAGUUUGGUCCCUAUCUGUCGCGGGCGUAGGAUACUUGAAAGGAGCUGCUCUUAGUACGAGAGGACCGGAGUGGACAAACCAAUGGUGUUCCGGUUGUAUUGCCAAAUGCAUAGCCGGGUAGCUAUGUUUGGAAAGGAUAAGCGUUGAAAGCAUCUAAACGCCAAGCCUCCCUUAAGAUAAGGUAUCCAUAAAACUCCCUGAAGAUGACAGGGUUGAUAGGUCGGGUGUGUAAGCAUAGUAAUAUGUUUAGCUAACCGAUACUAAUAAGUUGAAUUAGACUUGAAUAU
Molecule: non-coding RNA, 2932 nt
Organism: Chlamydiae bacterium SM23_39
Lineage: Bacteria; Pseudomonadati; Chlamydiota
Source: Rfam